AUUGAACGCUGGCGGCAGGCCUAACACAUGCAAGUCGAGCGGAUGAAGGGAGCUUGCUCCUGGAUUCAGCGGCGGACGGGUGAGUAAUGCCUAGGAAUCUGCCUGGUAGUGGGGGAUAACGUCCGGAAACGGGCGCUAAUACCGCAUACGUCCUGAGGGAGAAAGUGGGGGAUCUUCGGAUCUCACGCUAUCAGAUGAGCCUAGGUCGGAUUAGCUAGUUGGUGGGGUAAAGGCCUACCAAGGCGACGAUCCGUAACUGGUCUGAGAGGAUGAUCAGUCACACUGGAACUGAGACACGGUCCAGACUCCUACGGGAGGCAGCAGUGGGGAAUAUUGGACAAUGGGCGAAAGCCUGAUCCAGCCAUGCCGCGUGUGUGAAGAAGGUCUUAGGAUUGUAAAGCACUUUAAGUUGGGAGGAAGGGAAGUAAGUUAAUACCUUGCUGUUUUGACGGUACCAACAGAAUAAGCACCGGCUAACUUCGUG
Molecule: ribosomal RNA, 484 nt
Filed under: uncultured bacterium
Lineage: Bacteria
Description: partial 16S ribosomal RNA
Rfam family: Bacterial small subunit ribosomal RNA
Source: RNAcentral